AGAUUUAGCAACAGCUAGCAAACAGUUUAAGAAAGAUGAUGAAAAACUACUGCGCAGUAGGUGGGCGGUGGAGAGUUCAGCACCCUGACCCUGUGAGGAUGGUUGUGCUUGUUAUGAUUAAAGUUCUUUCCAGCCUAGUAUCCCAGCAGGGGAGAUCAUGUCUCUUUGCAGGUUUGCCUGCUCAAGAGUCUUUGCAAGUUUCUUUUGGGUUAUAUUGGAAGAGGCUGACAGCUGGCUAAGCUGAGAGGGAAUUGCUGACCUCCACAUGCAACAAAGACCAUACUUGUUAGAAGAAGGAGUCUGGGGCAGGAGAUUCUUGGGGGAGAGCUUAUCUGUUUCAGCAACAUCGCUCAUGCUAGAGCUAGGACUAAAAAGUAUUUCUUCUCCAGGUAUCUAGGUAAGGCAGGGAAUAUGGCUAUGCCCAGGACUGACUUGUGACUGGUGAAAAGCAAGCCUCUUCUUGCUUGUGCCCUCAGGCAAAAACAGGUUAGGCUCUGUGGAGCGCACAUCCUAUCUCUGCCACAAUCGCUUGUCACGGAUGCUACAAAGUGCUGCAUGAAGAGGGAGAACUGUAGCCAAAACCAACUAUGGGCAGAGCAUUAGAGUAUUAAAAAUAAGGUUAGUAGGCAGGGCUGGGUCUGUGCUGCUAAUAAAAUCUGGCUGGGGAACAAGUUAAAUUAUUGGACCUGAUUGUUCUGUGCUGCAUAACUACUCAUGUGCUCAUUGAUAUGGGUAUAGUUAAGGGAAUAGGUGCAUUAGUGACUGUUUCUGGAGUAAAGGCUGAAUGAGUCUGUGUCUGCACAGAACUCAACAUACUCUGCCCUGUGUGGUUGCCCAGUACUAUUCCAGGAUUGUACCGUUAACUCUUCCACAACACGUGUUGUACCCAAGAGUUUACAGUUUAGUGUUUCAAGCUGUAAAUCCCACAGCCUGCUUAGCUGCAGCACAUCCUCAAUACUAAAAGAGGACAGAUGUCCAGACCCCAUCUUCCUCCUGUGUAGCCAGUUGAGUGGGGAAGAAGGGGAGGCAGAGGGAAGCCUCACAGAGCAGUCAAGAUGUGAAUGUACUUGCAGAUUCCUACAGUCAUGUACUGUUUUGUGUUCGCUUCCUUUUCACAAGGUCAUGAAACUAUAUGGUGUUAGCUCAGUAUCUUACUUCCUCAUUAGUAAUGAGCUUAGAGUUUGUCAGUUCAUAUUGUUUUCACAUAUGUAUCACGUCUACAGAGUUUAAUCUGCAAGUUUGUCUAUUCACUCAGUCUUAUAAAGUCCUCCUGCAGAUGUUUGCGGUAAUAAUGAGAAGGAUCAACUUAAAUCUAUGAGCUAACUUGCAGGUCAUUUAAUCUUUGUGAAACAGUACUGGUCAGCAUCUUUCACUGAGUAAGAGCUGACUGUUCUUACUUGAUGCUUACCAUCUUUACCAGUUACUGUCCAUGAAAGGACUUUUUUUUUCCCCCUCACAUAGCUAGUUAACUUCCUUGAAAGCCUAUAUAUGUCAAAUGUCUUGGUCUUUGUAACAAGACUUCUGGACAUCCUUACUGACUGCAUCAGCUGCAUGACUCCUGUGCCUGUUGCCUCAUUUAGAGGCAACUAAAAGAUUCAACAAUUCAACUAGAUUUGUGAGGCAAUGCUUCUCUUUGAAAACGUUGCUUUGACUCUUCCACAUUUAUUUAAAGCUCAUUCAGUGCUCCCUUUUUCUCUUAACUCUCUUAAUAGAGACAUAAAGCUUACAGGCUCAGUGUUGAAAUCUUCCCGUAGUUUCCUUAAAAUUGGCACUGUGCUUGCUACUCUCCUGCUCUUUGCUAUCAAAAUGCAUACAUUCCGUUGUUUCAAGUGAGCAGCUGUGUAUCACUUACUGGUUUGGGGCAAUGCAAACACAUCAAAACUGGAUACCGUGUCCCAGUACCUUGAUUUCCCCCCCCCCCCUUUUGUUCUAAGAUUUCUUCCACUUCUUCCCACUUGAGACAGACCCUGGGAGCUCCUAAGAGGAGAUCUUCAGUGUCUGCAAGGAGUAGAAAGGAGAAGUGGAAAUAUAUAUUAAAAAUAAAUAAAUAAAAAUAAAUAAAUUAUUCUGUUAUCCAGAUGUUCCUUAUGUACUUAGGUUAUUUCUUGGUUCUAUACAUUACUCUUAAUGCAUUCUGAAGGAGAAAUAACCUUUUUCUGUGUAUUUUUUGUCUUUGGCAAAUAAACAGUCCUUUGCUGGCACGAUCAUUUGAGCACCUGGUUCUCACAGCUUUAUGAAGUCUGCCUUCUUGGUUCUAGCAGACUCCAAGUUUUGCCUGUUUUCUCUUGCUCUUUCAAGCAUUUCUUACCACCUAGUAUGUCAAUAUGGUAUGUCUGUUCCUUCCAUGCCACCUGUAAGCAUCCAGUCCUCUUUUGCUGGCAAGUGUGCAUCUCCUUUCAAGCAUCCUCAGUUGUAUUUUACUACCUUCUGAAGCUGAGUGCAGCUGUAAUAGAGUUACUAGCACUUGUUACUAGCACCUAGAGAUUUUGAAUGUUUGCUUUUGUUCCUGGUAGAGAGGCUCUUCAGCCCUAAGAGUUUUCAGUAAGGUCCUGCAUGCUGCUUCAGAUGAAAUCAGGGGCUGCAUUUUUCUGUCCCCUUUGUAUUCUUCUUGAUCAGCUGAUCAGCGAAGCGGGCAUUGGGAAAGUGGUGCAAAAUCAGAGUAAUUCUGUGUUGGAAGGGACCUGUGGAAGUCACCUUGUCCAACCUGCUGCUCUAAGCAGGACCAGCUUACAUCAGCUUGCCCAGAGUUUGUCCAGUUGAGUUUUGCAUAUUUCUAAGGAUGGAGACUUCCAGCCUCCUCAGGUAACUUGUUACAGUAUUUGAUUAUUCUCAUUGUGAAACUUCUUUUCUGGUAUCUAAUUGGUAUUUUCCUUCCUGCAACUUUUGUCCCUUGCCUCUUGUCCUACUACUGUGGACCUUUGAGAAGAAUCUGGCUUGUGUGUGCUCCCUUCAGGUAGCUGAAGACAGCGGUGUUGCAUUAAUAGUGCCUGAAUAGCAACAAUCUACCUGGGGUAAUGCAAGCUCUCAAGCUUUCUGGUACUAUCUUAUGUUCUCUUAAUCCUUCUGAUAACACUUAACAGCUACAUGUUGUACAUAUAAAUAAAUGAAGGAGGUGCAGCAUGCUGAAGGGUAACAAGCCUGAAGUGUGAAACACUGUUGGUGGUGUUCAUAUCAGCUUAUCAGUUCCAAGCCAUAGUAUCAAAUUUUGGCUUGAAAUGAAGUGUUACCAAAUACACAAUGUAAGCAGACAAAUUAUUUGAACUAGUCUUCAGUUUGUUCUUUUGGAGGUGAGAAGGGAAAUAAAAAAAAAAUAAAAAUCCUUAUUUUUAGGUUCAUAGCCCUAUUUCAGCAUUGAACUGACUACUUUCUGCCUGGAUGAACCAUAUUAAACUUCUGAAACUUCACAGCAUACAGCUUUCCACCUGGAAGGACAAGGUGGACUAUGAAGACAAGUGUAUUGUUUUCUUUUUUUUCUUAUUUUUAAUUUUUGGUUACUUAAAAAUUAAGAUGUCAUUUGCGUUAAUCUUAGUUGAAUAUAGAGGGCUUAAUUUUCUGGCCUAGCAAUAAAAACCUACUGAUUAACUUGUCAGAAGACUUCCAUGAGAUCUCCAUUUCUUUGCACUAGAUUUCAGUUGGUUAAAUCUUAACUUAUUUUCAAAUUUGGCCUUUGUAGAGUAAGUCCACCUCAAACUAAAAAUUUCCUUGAUGUUUGCACUGCUUGAGUGAAUUCUGCAGAUGGCCUUCUAUGCUGGUUUAGUGGGACAUAACUUGAAACGAAUGGGGUGAAAUUAUAAAAAUAUGAAACUUCUUGAAUAGCAGUAAUGAAGAUACAAUGAAAAAGUGAAGUGAAAGAUGCAAGAAAUAAUUAGAAGGACUGAGAAAGACUACUAUUUGGAAUAGUAGUGUUGUGAACUUCUAAAAACAAGGUAUGCCUUGCUGUGUUUUUGUUUAUAUCUUCUAUCUCAUGGACACUUCUAUGAAGUAAGCUAUCUUGAUGAUUUGGUGUGCUUUACAUCAUCUUCGGAAGGAAAUUAAUUUGCUUUUUGCUUUAAAACUGAGUAUUCACCCAGGAAAAUGACGGAAGUGCAGUUUCACCUCUCAGUUUUCCUGUGCUAUGUAGAAGCAGUUGGCAGUGCCUCUAAUUACUAAAUAAUAAAAAUCAGUGCAGCAUUUGUAUAAUCUCUUACCAUGGUGCUAUUAAAGCAAAAGCCUUUCUUUAUAUGCUUUGCUCUAUUUUUCUGUUGCUAAAUUGUUCCAAAGCCUAUUAGCUCUCAUAGGAGGAUAAAAUGACUAGCUGCUGGUAAGAUUUGAUGCUUGAGCUACCGUGUUCUCCAGCAGCAAGCAGGGAGAGUGCCUGGGCUUUGAGGCCAGUGCUCACGGUGAGCUGCCUGCUCAGGGAGGUGCUCUUGGAGCCUGCCAGCUGGGCUGUGGCAUGGGACAAAGCAGGCUGGCAAGAGGAUGACGUUAAGCUUGGAAUUCAGACUACUGAAUUCAUAAUUCAUACGGAAUUCAUAAGGAGAGGAUUCAUAAUCCCAUGGUGUGAGGUAUUUAUCCUUUUACAUUUUAAAGGAACUUUUCCAGAACAGCCCUUGAGCAGUUUCUUUUUUUUUCCUUAUGUUAAAGUGGGAGGACUCCCUCCCACCACCCUACCUUACAUGUGCAAACUCUUGAACUGAUAAUAAUAACACUAAUAGAUUUUUGGCUUGGUUUCUUUCAGACCUUCCAGGAUGUAUUAUAUCUCCCAGGUAGACAUAAAUAAUAAUUUAAAAAGUGCUACCACCUUAAAAUUAACUUCUAGAAAGUCUGGAUGCGUUUCAGGAUGGGAUAACAGCAUUGACUUGGGAGUCUUGACAGCUGGUGUCUCGUGUCUCUUGUCACACAAACUUGCUUGACUGAUUGGUACCAAUUUCUACCGUUAGUGUUUGUUCUGCUCUUCUGAUGGCUUCCAAGAAGGUUUGGGCUUCUGGUGGUGACCUGUCUGCAGACAGGUCAAUGUGCAAAGGUGUCUUCAGCUGCCCUGAGCUCGUAGGCUGGGAGACAAUCCUGGUUUGGAAGCUGUGUUAAUGAAGUACCUGUGUAAAUGAAAAGCUGCUGCGAGGCAGUGUGCAAGCACUGCGGUAACAGCUUCUUUGGGACUGGUGUCUGGUCGGCUUGGAGCACUGGACAGGCAAACACGGAUCUGUUUGCUCUUAACUGGGCAAACAUAACCUUAGGCCUGGUUUUACCUUAUCUACCUCAAACACUGGUCUGAGGCACCAGCAAUUCCAUUUCAGCUUCUGAGGGAGCUGGUUCUAGGGACAUCAACUGCCUCGCCAUUGCUGGGGAAGCUUGAGGAAAACUGUUCUCCAUUUUUAGGGGUGAAACAGUUUGAGCUCAAAGAUUUGCUGUGAAAUACUUGAUGAAGUCCAUGCUUGAGAUGAACUGGAAGUUUGAGUAGGCAGCUGUGGUGCUGCUGUUGAAUGGACUUUUAUUCUUCCAAAUUUCCAGACGUUCAUUCCCAUCUAGCCUAUACAUGUACCAGCUGGCACUGUCAACCAUUAUGGACUUUAAAAUGGUUUUGGUCCCUGCUAGAGGAGGUCUUCACUGCUAUAACUGUUGUCCUGCCCAGCAGUUAACCCUGCUCCUGUGUUUUUUCACUGUUCUCUGGUCUCUUUUCAAGAACUGUAUUAUAUUUCCAUUGCCUUUCCUGGAUUCCUUCCCCUGGCAAUUUUCCCUGUUUUUCAGGUUGGAUGGGAUCACAGUAGAAGGAAACAGCAGGUCUGAUUCUUCGAGAAAGGAUGUGGGGAGGAGGAUGUUGAUCAGGCAUAUCUUGAGAUCGUUUUGCCCCUUCCCUAAAGGACCAAAAAGGAUCCUAAUCCCUCCUGUGGCAGCCCUGAUCAUCUUCUUUGUCUGUCUCUUGAAAGCUUUGUAGGAUACAGUAACCUCAUGGAAAAAGGUGGAUGUCUUCAUGGCGUGAUACUGACACUAAGUGAGAUGAAACUUGCCUUCAUUUAUAUAUUAAAAACAAACAAAAACCAAGUAACAACAAUUCUCUACAUUAAAAAAAAAAAAAAAACAAAACAACAAACACUCCUAAAUCUAUAAGUUUUCACUCUGAUUUAGAUAAUAUGUAAUUCUGCUCUCCCAGCUCCCUUUCUGUGUUUUAUACUGACUGAAGGCUGAGCAGCCACCUGUAAUUCACUUGUUUGUUCUAACAGUGUACAGUGGCUGCAACUUGAUAUUUUGCUGCUCCAGUUCCUUAACAGGGCAUGUUUCUGAACUGUAGGAAAGUACAAAAUGUUUCCAUCGAAAUGCUAGAUUUCACCUCACCAAAGUGGUAUUUAUUUGUACAGUAUCAUGUGGUAGGCAGUCUCUCCUGUCAGUUGAGCUGGUGAUUUAGGAAGCAUCAGAUUUCCCUCUAGUAUGAACUCAUCCAGUCAAGGCACCUAACAAGUUAUUUUGGUAGAUUUGAGGUGAGUUAAUAGCCACAAAAUUUCUAAUUUGUAUUUCUUUUCAAAGUCAGAUUAGCCUAGAAAUGCUGGUGUUUUAACUGGUGCCUUUGUAACUGCUCCAUGACAAAUUAGGCUUGCUGGUCUGUUGCCCUGUAGCUGACAAUUUUAAGUUCUUUUAAAGCCUUUCUGAAUAUGAAAGUUCUGAAAAGUUCUGAAAGUAUCCAGUUCUGAAAGCUGGAUACUUGUAGAUUUGCUGUAGGACACUUUUAUAACUAUAUUUUGAACUGAAAUUUAAACAAGUCCAAACAAUAUGAAUUGGAGUUAAACUUGUAUAGGGGUUGCCCUGGCUCUGAGCAUCUGCUCCUCAACAGAAGAGCCUGUGGGAGGAUUUCACCUUUAUGAGAAGGUUCACCCUUACCUUUAGCUGCCCUGCCAGCUCCUGUGUUGUCCAAAGCCUGUCUGGAAGGAACUUCAGAGGUUAUGUAGUCCAUCCAGUGCCCCGAGGCAGGAUCAGUCAUACUCGGACAAGUGUCUGUCAGAAAUGGUUCGACUUGUUCUUAAAAUUGUCAUGUGAUGGGAUUCCUUCUCCUUCCCCCUGUUAAGCACUUUAUUAUCUACCCUUAUUCUGAGUCUAACUGAAGUCCUGGGACGUGAAUGUAUGUGACCAUGCCUUUCCAUUUUAUUUACCAUUUUUAUAGGUACCACAAAUGGUGGUAACGUGUUUUACCACCACUCAUUAAUUGCUUGCUGGUCUGCUCUUCAGUUAAGGUGCUGCUGUCCUUAUCCUGUGAGCCAUGGGUAAGAGAGAAGGAUACCGGUCUGUGUUCAGGUUGAAAACAAAGACUUGAUUGCUCAGAUUGUGUGGCUUGUUUUAGGGUAACUAAUUUGUUUCACAUCUGAAUCUUUUGUCCACAGACGUAUUGUGUUACUGAUCCAGUAUUUGAACAUGUGCUUAAACCCCUUUUUGGAGGAAGUCCUGCACCAGCUGUGUGGAAUGCAUGUCUGCAGGGGGGAGAGGGGCAGGCAGCCCGUUGAGCUGUCUUCCCUUGGCUUGUAUCCCACGUUGCCUGGGUUCCUGCCUCACCCCAAGUGUUUUGGGGCCAGUCUCUUGAUCUCACCUCCCUGCAGUGCUCAGCCAGGUGCUCCCCUGUGCUCCGAGCUGCUGGGGCUCCAGCUGUGGUCCUGCUCUAACACAGCCACAUCAAUUAUAAGAGUACAUUGUUGAUUUUCUUUUUUUCUUUUCUUUUUAAUCUUCCUCACUUUAACCGAUCAAAAUGCUGAUACCACACCGAAGGAUGCUGCGUAGCCUGGGGCCUCCCUCACUGACAGCUGUGUGUGCAUCUGCUGUUCCUCUGCCGUGUCCCACACCCGUACGGCGGUGUGCGAAUGUCUCCUGUCCAGCAGCUGUCCUUACCUUCACCCUCAGAUAAGGGUGCUAGACUGCAGACAGUGCUCACCUCACCAAGGAUGCGUGAGAACUAGAGGAGGUGCAGGAGGAGAGCAACUGAAAUGAUGAGGGGGCUGGAGCCCCUUGAAAGAAAGCACCACUUCACGUUGCGGGCAGCGAAUUGCUGAAGCUGCCUGCCAUGAGAAAGUGUGGUGGCAUAAAGUAUCAGCAGGUUCUUACAAGAAUUAAGCAAGCUGGGGGACAAUAUAGUGGGCUAGAGGAUGUUUCUUAUGUUCUUAGGGAAAACCUGGACAACUCUCAUCUCUGAGUCAUUGCGUCCAUGUAACUUGGUUUGGGGAGGUUCCACUUGUCUCUGUGUAUGUUGUGUAUGUGUGUAUUUUAAGAUUAAUUAUAUAAAAAGGGGGGGGGGCUAUCACCCUACAACAUUUUAGACCAUCCAUCUUAAGCUUUUGAUACAGAUGAGGAAAACUCUAUUUAUAAAUACAUAUAGUCAUAAAUUUAUUUUGAUGCAGAAAAGGUAAAAGAAUACGUUAAAAAAAAAAACAAAACAACAAUGUGGUGAGAUCUGUCUCAGAGUUGCACCAUACAGUCAUUGUUUACAUAUCUUACAGUCAAACUAUUUGUCACUUGGCUGAAACAACAAAAUGCUUUGAAUGAUUGUGUCUAGUGUAAAUAGUAAUAAAAAUAGUUUGUGUCGAAAUUGAUAAAGAAAUAGAGUCUUAAUUUUAAACCUGUUCAUAUAACAGUUACUGGUAUAUCCACACAUUAUUUAUCUUAAAACAUGUCUCAAAAUAAGCACCUAAAAUUACUUCAAAAAAGGGUGAUAUAAUAGGAAAACCUGGAAUACUUGCUGUCACUUGUAUUGCGUAAUCAUUUUGAAUUUUGUGUAGCUACCCAAACCUGUUUAAUAACUGUGAAAUACUUGAUAGUUGAGCUAAAUCGGUGACAAUAACAUCAGAAACAAAAUUGAUAUUUUUACAUAAUGGCUUGUUCUGAUGUUGAAAACACCAUUUUAUUUUUCAGCCUGCUUUUUCAGCCAAACCCCUAAGCAUUGCAGUCAAAAUGUCACACUUCUUAAUUGCAGUGGUGUGGUUUGUGUGUAACUUGUCUGCUGAGCAGGCUGUGUGUAUCGUUGUUAUGACAAAACAAAAAGAAAUAAGGCCCCCUUUCCUUGAUAGUGCACCUUUGAUCUUCCAGACAAGAAUUGCAGACCUAAACCCUGCAGAAAAGAUGAAACUAGCAAGUCUAACAAAAGCCUAAACAGAAGUAAUAGUUAGUAUUGAAAUCCUAAUUAUACUAGUGAGUGUUUUAAACACUAUUUUACUUUAAGUAUAAUUUGAUUUUGGUCGGUAUGGAUUCUGUGAAACAGCAACAGUGAGGAGCACAGCAGUGCAUAUGCAUACACAAGUGCAGUAUUGCUUCAAUAACGUCAGUGAUCUCAACUGUGCAAGUAAGCAAGUAAUAUUGUACAAGAAUUGUCUGCUAAAUUGCAAGGUUUAAUUUACAGAUAGAAUGUACAAAUGCUAAAAUAAGCUGUUUUUGAAGUCAUCUGUUUUUGUUUUUUCUAUGAGAGUCCUUUAUUAUUUAUAUCUGCUAAAUUAUUUGUAAUAUAAAAUAUUAGGCUUUUGACUGUGCAGUUGCUAAAUAUAGUUAAUAGAUCUUUGAAAUCUGUUGUUUAACUAAAUUUACAGAUCUUACAGAUGUCUGUCCUUAUAGAGAUGAACUUAAUACAGUUUAAAAUCCACGGGUCCCUGCUUUAUGCAGGUUUGUGUGAAUAAGGCUUUGUUUUUAAAAAUGCAUCUUUCUAAUGUGAUUUUGUAGGUUAAAAAUAAAACAAUUAUGCCUGAA
Molecule: non-coding RNA, 9687 nt
Organism: Anas platyrhynchos (mallard)
Lineage: Eukaryota; Metazoa; Chordata; Aves; Anseriformes; Anatidae
Source: RefSeq, a predicted model, not a curated record